CCUACGGGAGGCUGCAGUAAGGGAUAUUGGUCAAUGGGGGAAACCCUGAAGGAGCAACGCCGCGUGAGGGAAGGCGGUUUUCGGAUUGUAAACCUCUGUCCUCUGUGAAGAUGAUGAAGAUGGCAGAGGAGGAAGCGCCGGCUAACUACGUGUCAGCAGCAGCGGUAAUACGUAGGGAGCGAGCGUUGGCCGGAUUUACUGGGUGUAAGGGGUGCGUAGGCGGGUUGGCAAGUCAGUAGUGAAAUCCAUGGGCUUAACCCAUGGACUGCUAUUGAAACUGGCGGGCUUGAGUGAAGUAGAGGUAGGCGGAAUUCCCGGUGUAGCGGUGAAAUGCGUAGAGAUCGGGAGGAACACCAGUGGCGAAGGCGGCCUACUGGACUUUAACUGACGCUGAGGCACGAAAGCAUGGGUAGCGAACAGGAUUAGAUACCCCGGUAGUC
RNAcentral lists this ribosomal RNA (440 nucleotides) under uncultured bacterium. Its description in RNAcentral is "partial 16S ribosomal RNA". It matches the Rfam family "Bacterial small subunit ribosomal RNA", at positions 338 to 795 of the family's 1533-position model. The record is from RNAcentral.